RNAcentral lists this ribosomal RNA (116 nucleotides) under Pteropus alecto (black flying fox). The record is from RNAcentral. Lineage: Eukaryota; Metazoa; Chordata; Mammalia; Chiroptera; Pteropodidae.
GUCUACGGCCAUGCCACCCCGAACAAGCCCCAUGUCUGAUCUCGGAAGCUAAGCAGGGUCGGGCCUGGUUAGUACUUAGAUGGGAGACCCCCUAGGAAGACCAGGUGCUGUAGGCA